This 464-nucleotide ribosomal RNA is filed under the name uncultured bacterium. RNAcentral describes it as "partial 16S ribosomal RNA". It matches the Rfam family "Bacterial small subunit ribosomal RNA", at positions 29 to 507 of the family's 1533-position model. The record is from RNAcentral.
ACGAACGCUGGCGGCGUGCUUAACACCUGCAAGUCGCACGGAAAGGCCCUGCUUGCAGGGUACUCGAGUGGCGAACGGGUGAGUAACACGUGGGUGAUCUGCCCUGCACUUCGGGAUAAGCCUGGGAAACUGGGUCUAAUACCGGAUAGGAGCCAUUUUUAGUGUGAUGGUUGGAAAGUUUUUUCGGUGUAGGAUGAGCUCGCGGCCUAUCAGCUUGUUGGUGGGGUAAUGGCCUACCAAGGCGGCGACGGGUAGCCGGCCUGAAAGGGUGGACGGCCACAUUGGGACUGAGAUACGGCCCAGACUCCUACGGGAGGCAGCAGUGGGGAAUAUUGCACAAUGGGCGCAAGCCUGAUGCAGCGACGCCGCGUGGGGGAUGACGGCCUUCGGGUUGUAAACUCCUUUCGCUAGGGACGAAGCUUUUUGUGACGGUACCUAGAUAAGAAGCACCGGCUAACUACGUG